GUUAUAUGGUCAAGCGAAUAAGCGCACACGGUGGAUGCCUUGGCGGUCAGAGGCGAUGAAGGACGUGGCAGCCUGCGAAAAGUAUCGGGGAGCUGGCAACAAGCUUUGAUCCGGUAAUGUCCGAAUGGGGAAACCCACCCGCUUGCGGGUAUCCUGCAGUGAAUACAUAGCUGCUGGAAGCGAACCUGGUGAACUGAAAUAUCUAAGUAACCAGAGGAAAAGAAAUCAACCGAGAUUCCGUAAGUAGCGACGAGCGAACGCGGACUAGCCCUUAAGCUGAUUUGGUUCUAGGAAAACGCUCUGGAAAGAGCGGCCAUAGAAGGUGAUAGCCCUGUAUCUGAAAGGGCCAUUUCAGUGAAGACGAGUAGGGCGGGGCACGUGAAACCCUGUCUGAACAUGGGGGGACCAUCCUCCAAGGCUAAAUACUACUGACCGACCGAUAGUGAACCAGUACCGUGAGGGAAAGGCGAAAAGAACCCCGGAGAGGGGAGUGAAAUAGAACCUGAAACCGUGUGCGUACAAGCAGUAGGAGCUCCGCAAGGAGUGACUGCGUACCUUUUGUAUAAUGGGUCAGCGACUUACUGUUCGUGGCAAGCUUAACCGUAUAGGGGAGGCGAAGGGAAACCGAGUCUGAUAAGGGCGCAUAGUCGCGGGCAGUAGACCCGAAACCGGGUGAUCUAGUCAUGCCCAGGGUGAAGGUGCGGUAACACGCACUGGAGGCCCGAACCCACUCCCGUUGCAAAGGUAGGGGAUGAGGUGUGAUUAGGAGUGAAAAGCUAAUCGAACCCGGAGAUAGCUGGUUCUCCUCGAAAGCUAUUUAGGUAGCGCCUCAUAUGUAUCCUCUCGGGGGUAGAGCACUGUUAUGGCUAGGGGGUCAUCGCGACUUACCAAACCAUUGCAAACUCCGAAUACCGAGACGGACUGUAUGGGAGACACACGGCGGGUGCUAACGUCCGUCGUGAAAAGGGAAACAACCCAGACCCACAGCUAAGGUCCCAAAUUUUGUGCUAAGUGGAAAACCAUGUGGAAAGGCACAGACAGCCAGGAGGUUGGCUUAGAAGCAGCCACCCUUUAAAGAAAGCGUAAUAGCUCACUGGUCGAGUCGGUCUGCGGGGAAGAUUUAACGGGGCUAAGCACAGAACCGAAGCUUGGGGUGCAUAACUUUGUUAUGCGCGGUAGAGGAGCGUUCCGUAAGCCGUUGAAGGUGGAUUGAGAAGUCUGCUGGAGGUAUCGGAAGUGCGAAUGCUGACAUGAGUAACGAUAAUGCGGGUGAAAAACCCGCACGCCGAAAGCCCAAGGUUUCCUUGCGCAACGUUAAUCGGCGCAGGGUGAGUCGGCCCCUAAGGCGAGGACGAAAGUCGUAGUCGAUGGGAAGCAGGUUAAUAUUCCUGCACCUCGCGUAAGUGCGAUGGAGGGACGGAGAAGGUUAGGUGUACCAGGCGUUGGUUGUCCUGGGGAAAGGCGGUAGGUUUGGAUCUUUGGCAAAUCCGGGAUCCUUUAAGACCGAGCACCGAGACGAGCCUUUAUGGCGAAGUCACUGAUACCACGCUUCCAGGAAAAGCUCCUAAGCUUCAGCUUACGCAGACCGUACCGUAAACCGACACAGGUGGGUAGGAUGAGAAUUCUCAGGCGCUUGAGAGAACUCGGGUGAAGGAACUAGGCAACAUGGCACCGUAACUUCGGGAGAAGGUGCACCCUUUUUGGUGGCUCGUGCGAGCUAUAGCUGAAGAGGGUCGCAGUAACCAGGCCGCUGCGACUGUUUAUCAAAAACACAGCACUCUGCAAACACGAAAGUGGACGUAUAGGGUGUGACGCCUGCCCGGUGCUGGAAGGUUAAUUGAUGGGGUCAGCCGCAAGGCGAAGCUCUUGAUCGAAGCCCCAGUAAACGGCGGCCGUAACUAUAACGGUCCUAAGGUAGCGAAAUUCCUUGUCGGGUAAGUUCCGACCUGCACGAAUGGCGUAACGACAGCGGCGCUGUCUCCACCCGAGACUCAGUGAAAUUGAAAUCGCUGUGAAGAUGCAGCGUUCCCGUGGCAAGACGGAAAGACCCCGUGAACCUUUACUAUAGCUUUACACUGAACGUUGAGUUCGUCUGUGUAGGAUAGGUGGGAGGCUAUGAAACUGUGGCGCUAGCUGCAGUGGAGCCAUCCUUGAAAUACCACCCUGUCGUGCUUGACGUUCUAACCUGGGCCCAUUAUCUGGGUCGGGGACCGUGUAUGGUGGGUAGUUUGACUGGGGCGGUCUCCUCCUAAAGAGUAACGGAGGAGCUCGAAGGUACGCUCAGCGCGGUCGGACAUCGCGCACUGUGUGCAAAGGCAUAAGCGUGCUUGACUGCAAGAUCGACGGAUCAAGCAGGUAGGAAACUAGGACUUAGUGAUCCGGUGGUUCUGUAUGGAAGGGCCAUCGCUCAACGGAUAAAAGGUACUCCGGGGAUAACAGGCUGAUACCGCCCAAGAGUUCAUAUCGACGGCGGUGUUUGGCACCUCGAUGUCGGCUCAUCACAUCCUGGGGCUGUAGUCGGUCCCAAGGGUAUGGCUGUUCGCCAUUUAAAGUGGUACGCGAGCUGGGUUCAGAACGUCGUGAGACAGUUCGGUCCCUAUCUGCCAUGGGCGUUGGAGAUUUGAGAGGGGCUGCUCCUAGUACGAGAGGACCGGAGUGGACGAACCUCUGGUGUUCCGGUUGUCACGCCAGUGGCAUUGCCGGGUAGCUAUGUUCGGAAGCGAUAACCGCUGAAAGCAUCUAAGCGGGAAGCGCGCCUCAAGAUGAGAUCUCCCGGGGCACAAGCCCCCUGAAGGAACCAUGUAGACUACGUGGUUGAUAGGUCAGGUGUGUAAGUACAGCAAUGUAUUGAGCUAACUGAUACUAAUGAUCCGUGCGGCUUGACCAUAUAACCU
Molecule: ribosomal RNA, 2894 nt
Filed under: Stenotrophomonas maltophilia
Lineage: Bacteria; Pseudomonadati; Pseudomonadota; Gammaproteobacteria; Lysobacterales; Lysobacteraceae
Description: bacterial LSU rRNA
Rfam family: Bacterial large subunit ribosomal RNA
Source: RNAcentral